UGACCUGCCCGUACCCUAAACCGACUCAGGUGGUCAGGUAGAGUAUACCGAGGCGUUCGAGUGAAUCGUGGUUAAGGAACUCGGCAAAAUUCCUCCGUAACUUCGGGAUAAGGAGGACCCCGUGACUUGCUCCCACCGUGCGUGGGUGUUGGGUUGUGGGGUCGCAGAGAAUAGGGAGAAGCGACUGUUUAUCAAAAACACAGGUGCGUGCGAAGCCGUAAGGCGAUGUAUACGCACUGACGCCUGCCCGGUGCUGGAAGGUUAAGAGGAACCGUUAACAUUCUUUAUGGGUGUGAAGCGGUGAAUUUAAGCCCCAGUAAACGGCGGUGGUAACUAUAACCAUCCUAAGGUAGCGAAAUUCCUUGUCGGGUAAGUUCCGACCUGCACGAAUGGCGUAACGACUUCUCCGCUGUCUCGACCGUGAACUCGGCGAAAUUGCAGUACGAGUAAAGAUGCUCGUUUCGCGCAGAAGGACGGAAAGACCCCGGGACCUUUACUAUAGCUUGGUAUUGGUGUUCGCUUGUGCUUGUGUAGGAUAGGUGGGAGACUGUGAAGCUGCGGCGCCAGCCGUGGUGGAGUCGUCGUUGAAAUACCAUUCUGGUUCAAGCGGUCACCUCAACCUUGGCCCGUGAUCCGGGUUGGGGACAGUGCCUGGUGGGUAGUUUAACUGGGGCGGUUGCCUCCUAAAAUGUAACGGAGGCGCUCAAAGGUUCCCUCAGCCUGGUUGGUAAUCAGGUGGCGAGUGCAAGUGUACAAGGGAGCUUGACUGUGAGACCGACGGGUCGAGCAGGUGCGAAAGCAGGAACUAGUGAUCCGGCCAUGGCACGUGGGUGCGUGGUCGCUCAACGGAUAAAAGGUACCCCGGGGAUAACAGGCUGAUCUUGCCCAAGAGUCCAUAUCGACGGCAUGGUUUGGCACCUCGAUGUCGGCUCGUCGCAUCCUGGGGCUGGAGUUGGUCCCAAGGGUUGGGCUGUUCGCCCAUUAAAGCGGUACGCGAGCUGGGUUCAGAACGUCGUGAGACAGUUCGGUCCCUAUCCUCUGUGCGCGCAGGAAAUUUGAGGAGGGCCGUCCCUAGUACGAGAGGACCGGGAUGGACGAACCUCUGGUGUGCCAGUUGUACCGCCAGGUGCAUGGCUGGUUAGCUACGUUCGGAAGGGAUAACCGCUGAAAGCAUCUAAGCGGGAAGCCUGCUCCAAGAUGAGGUUUCCACGCCCCCCGUGGGUGAGAGGCCCCCGCCAGACGAGCGGGUUGAUAGGCCAGAGGUGGAAGCACCGCGAGGUGCUCGUGAGCCGACUGGUACUAAUGGGCCAACACUAAACAAA
RNAcentral lists this ribosomal RNA (1322 nucleotides) under human gut metagenome. Its description in RNAcentral is "bacterial LSU rRNA". It matches the Rfam family "Bacterial large subunit ribosomal RNA", at positions 1634 to 2925 of the family's 2925-position model. The record is from RNAcentral.